AUAGCAGUCAUCACUGCUGUGGCUUGGGUUUGAUCCCUGGCCCAGGAACCUCUGCCUGCCAAGAACAAAAGGAGAAAAAAAAAAAGAGCCACAGGGGCAGCUCUAAAAAGAAAACAAAAACAAAAAACCCCCAACAAAACAAACAAAAAAGAAUUCAGGCAGAUAGACUGAGUCCUCGGCAAACCUGGGCCUCCUACCAACACUGGCGCAGGCGCGUGCUCAUUUGAACUAAGGGAGAGGCUUUAACAGUCUUGAUUAAACGAGCUCCGCUAAAAGUUCUUUUAGGAGGAACAGCUCAGGCUCGGGGAAAUGGAGCGCUGUAUCGAGCUUCCCCCAGCAGUCCUUGUCGAAGCCCUGAAGUGCAGGCUUGUGUGCGCCGCAGGUGACCACUCUGCACGCGCUUCCCCCCAUCUGGUUUCCCGCCACUCAGCAAGGAUCUUCCAGGAGGGGCAGGAUAAUGAGGAUUCUCGAUAACCAGCAGUUAAUAUUUUAAUAAUCAGAACUAGGAGUUUCCACUGUGGCUCAGCUGGUUAAGGACCUGACAUAGUCUCUGUGAGGAUGCAGGUCUGAUCCCUGGCUUAGCUCAGGGGGUUGAGGAUCCAAAGGAUCCCAUGUUGCCACAAGUGGAGGCACAAGCUGUGGCGAAGGUCCAGACGUGGCUCAGAUCCGGG
This 671-nucleotide long non-coding RNA is filed under the name Sus scrofa (pig). Its description in RNAcentral is "lncRNA (ENSSSCG00060073110.1)". Lineage: Eukaryota; Metazoa; Chordata; Mammalia; Artiodactyla; Suidae. The record is from RNAcentral.